This 69-nucleotide transfer RNA is filed under the name Trachypachus holmbergi. RNAcentral's name for it is "tRNA-Tyr". The record is from RNAcentral. Lineage: Eukaryota; Metazoa; Arthropoda; Insecta; Coleoptera; Trachypachidae.
GGUAAAAUGGCUGAGAAUAUUAGGCAAUAAACUGUAAAUUUAUUUAGGAAAUUUAUAUUUCUUUUACCA